Long non-coding RNA from Oncorhynchus keta (chum salmon), 1196 nucleotides. RefSeq lists it as uncharacterized. The record is from RefSeq and is a predicted model, not a curated record. NCBI's taxonomy places the organism in Eukaryota, Metazoa, Chordata, Actinopteri, Salmoniformes, Salmonidae. The transcript has 6 exons.
UGUUCUAUCCACAUAGAGGAAAUGGAGGAUAAGGAUGUUCUAUCCACAUAGAGGAAAUGGAGGAGGGAUAAGGAUGUUCAAUCUACUUCCUCUAUGUAGGUAGAACAUCCUCACCACCAUACUGUAGGUAGAACAUCCUCACCACCAUACUGUAGGUAGAACAUCCUCACCACCAUACUGUAGGUAGAACAUCCUCACCACCAUACUGUAGGUAGGACAUCCUCACCACCAUACUGUAGGUAGGACAUCCUCACCACCAUACUGUAGGUAGAACAUCCUCACCACCAUACUGUAGGUAGAACAUCCUCACCACCAUACUGUAGGUAGAACAUCCUCACCACCAUACUGUAGGUAGAACAUCCUCACCACCAUACUGUAGGUAGAACAUCCUCACCACCAUACUGUAGGUAGAACAUCCUCACCACCAUACUGUAGGUAGAACAUCCUCACCACCAUACUGUAGGGAGAACAUCCUCACCACCAUACUGUAGGUAGAACAUCCUCACCACCAUACUGUAGGUAGGACAUCCUCACCACCAUACUGUAGGUAGAACAUCCUCACCACCAUACUGUAGGUAGAACAUCCUCACCACCAUACUGUAGGUAGAACAUCCUCACCACCAUACUGUAGGUAGAACAUCCUCACCACCAUACUGUAGGUAGAACAUCCUCACCACCAUACUGUAGGUAGAACAUCCUCACCACCAUACUGUAGGUAGAACAUCCUCACCACCAUACUGUAGGUAGAACAUCCUCACCACCAUACUGUAGGUAGAACAUCCUCACCACCAUACUGUAGGUAGAACAUCCUCACCACCAUACUGUAGGUAGAACAUCCUCACCACCAUACUGUAGGUAGGACAUCCUCACCACCAUACUGUAGGUAGAACAUCCUCACCACCAUACUGUAGGUAGAACAUCCUCACCACCAUACUGUAGGUAGAACAUCCUCACCACCAUACUGUAGGUAGAACAUCCUCACCACCAUACUGUAGGUAGAACAUCCUCACCACCAUACUGUAGGUAGAACAUCCUCACCACCAUACUGUAGGUAGAACAUCCUCACCACCAUACUGUAGGUAGAACAUCCUCACCACCAUACUGUAGGUAGAACAUCCUCACCACCAUACUGUAGGUAGAACAUCCUCACCACCAUACUGUAGGUAGAACAUCCUCACCACCAUACUGUAGGUAGA